AGUCGCCUACGGGACGCAGCAGUAGGGAAUCUUCCACAAUGGACGAAAGUCUGAUGGAGCAACGCCGCGUGAGUGAAGAAGGGUUUCGGCUCGUAAAGCUCUGUUGGUAGUGAAGAAAGAUAGAGGUAGUAACUGGCCUUUAUUUGACGGUAAUUACUUAGAAAGUCACGGCUAACUACGUGCCAGCAGCCGCGGUAAUACGUAGGUGGCAAGCGUUGUCCGGAUUUACUGGGUGUAAAGGGAGCGUAGACGGCCAGACAAGUCUGAAGUGAAAAUC
This 277-nucleotide ribosomal RNA is filed under the name uncultured bacterium. Its description in RNAcentral is "partial 16S ribosomal RNA". It matches the Rfam family "Bacterial small subunit ribosomal RNA", at positions 335 to 602 of the family's 1533-position model. The record is from RNAcentral.